Molecule: ribosomal RNA, 433 nt
Filed under: uncultured bacterium
Lineage: Bacteria
Description: partial 16S ribosomal RNA
Rfam family: Bacterial small subunit ribosomal RNA
Source: RNAcentral
AACGAACGCUGGCGGCAUGCCUAACACAUGCAAGUCGAACGAAGGCUUCGGCCUUAGUGGCGCACGGGUGCGUAACGCGUGGGAAUCUGCCCUUUGGCUCGGAAUAACAGCUGGAAACGGCUGCUAAUACCGGAUGAUGACGAAAGUCCAAAGAUUUAUCGCCAGAGGAUGAGCCCGCGUUGGAUUAGGUAGUUGGUGGGGUAAAGGCCUACCAAGCCGACGAUCCAUAGCUGGUCUGAGAGGAUGAUCAGCCACACUGGGACUGAGACACGGCCCAGACUCCUACGGGAGGCAGCAGUGGGGAAUAUUGGACAAUGGGCGCAAGCCUGAUCCAGCAAUGCCGCGUGAGUGAUGAAGGCCCUAGGGUUGUAAAGCUCUUUUACCCGGGAAGAUAAUGACUGUACCGGGAGAAUAAGCCCCGGCUAACUCCGUG